GGGGACGACUUGGCUUCGACUGGAGCUAAUAGUCUACGAUUGCAUGUCGGACUGAGCACUUCCGUUACACGGCUCACAAUUGCUUAAAUGCAAACAAUACAAAUUACCGCCCAGCUUACGCAGUAGCAUAAGUUUUACCCCCUCUUAGAGGACGGGCUGCUUCACCGAUGGACUCUAGAUAAGUCGGAUUCGAAGUAUAACCCUUAUGUAGAUAUAUAUGAAGUCUGUCUCAGCUUCAUACGAAUCCCGAGACUCGUUGUGUGUAGCUUUGCAAGUUGUGUGAAGCACAAUUAAACAUAAACAACUUUUCUAAGCAUGUAGACGUCGUAGAAAAUUAGCUUUAGGACUGCGGUUCGAUCCCGCACGUCUCCACCA
RNAcentral lists this transfer-messenger RNA (375 nucleotides) under Sulfurimonas sp. SAG-AH-194-L11. It matches the Rfam family "transfer-messenger RNA". From Rfam's summary of the family: Bacterial tmRNA, also known as 10Sa RNA or SsrA, is named for its dual tRNA and mRNA-like properties. The record is from RNAcentral. Lineage: Bacteria; Pseudomonadati; Campylobacterota; Epsilonproteobacteria; Campylobacterales; Sulfurimonadaceae.